RNAcentral lists this long non-coding RNA (227 nucleotides) under Phaseolus vulgaris (common bean). RNAcentral describes it as "long non-coding RNA (PVUL_LNC000561)". Lineage: Eukaryota; Viridiplantae; Streptophyta; Magnoliopsida; Fabales; Fabaceae. The record is from RNAcentral.
UUCCUUGUACAUUGAAUUCCAUAGUGAGUUUGUCGAAAUUCCAUAAAAUAUCGCCCAAUGUUAUGAGCCACUCAAUUCCCAGCACUAAAUCGCAACACCCCAAAGGAAGGAGUAGCAUAUCAGCAGUAAAAGUUGUGUGCUGAAUUAUCCAACUAAAAUUUUUUACCACGGAAGAUAUCUUGAUCUUUGACCCAUCUGCUACCACGACAUUCAAAGGGGCAAUCGUC